RNAcentral lists this long non-coding RNA (339 nucleotides) under Linum usitatissimum (flax). RNAcentral describes it as "long non-coding RNA (LUSI_LNC002650)". Lineage: Eukaryota; Viridiplantae; Streptophyta; Magnoliopsida; Malpighiales; Linaceae. The record is from RNAcentral.
UCAUAUUGUGUCCACACUUCUUGGUGUGACACCUCCUGAUUGAUGCGAUUCUUUUGUAAACGAUAUUUGUUCCGAUUAAAUGCAUUAAUAAUAUAUCAGCAACCAUUUAAAAAAAAAUUUUUUUUUUGAAAAAUCCAAUAGAAAAUCUUUAUAAAAAAAAGAAAAAUCCGAUAGAAAAAAUAUAAUUCGUGUGAGUCAAACCAUUUGGAAAAAAAAAAGAAACAAACAUAUAUGCGUCCUUUGACAAGUUUGGAUCGACUUGAAAUAGUAAACUCAACACUUUGGCAUUUCUCACAUUCACAUUUCAUUAAGUAAUUCCCAUAAGAGGGGGAGGUUGAA